GACGAACGCGGCGGCGUGCCUAAUACAUGCAAGUCGAACGCACGAAGUUGAAGAGCUUGCUCUUUAACCAAGUGAGUGGCGGACGGGUGAGUAACACGUGGGUAACCUACCCAUUAGAGGGGGAUAACAUUCGGAAACGGAUGCUAAUACCGCAUAGUUUCAGGAAUCGCAUGAUUCGUGAAGGAAAGGUGGCUUCGGCUACCACUAAUGGAUGGACCCGCGGCGUAUUAGCUAGUUGGUGAGGUAAUGGCUCACCAAGGCAAUGAUACGUAGCCGACCUGAGAGGGUGAUCGGCCACACUGGGACUGAGACACGGCCCAGACUCCUACGGGAGGCAGCAGUAGGGAAUCUUCCGCAAUGGACGAAAGUCUGACGGAGCAACGCCGCGUGAGUGAAGAAGGUUUUCGGAUCGUAAAACUCUGUUGUUAAAGAAGAACAAGGAUGAGAGUAACUGCUCAUCCCCUGACGGUAUUUAACCAGAAAGCCACGGCUAACUACGUGCCAGCAGCCGCGGUAAUACGUAGGUGGCAAGCGUUGUCCGGAUUUAUUGGGCGUAAAGCGAGCGCAGGCGGUUCUUUAAGUCUGAUGUGAAAGCCCCCGGCUCAACCGGGGAGGGUCAUUGGAAACUGGAGAACUUGAGUGCAGAAGAGGAGAGUGGAAUUCCACGUGUAGCGGUGAAAUGCGUAGAUAUGUGGAGGAACACCAGUGGCGAAGGCGACUCUCUGGUCUGUAACUGACGCUGAGGCUCGAAAGCGUGGGGAGCAAACAGG
This 770-nucleotide ribosomal RNA is filed under the name uncultured Vagococcus sp. RNAcentral's name for it is "bacterial SSU rRNA". It matches the Rfam family "Bacterial small subunit ribosomal RNA", at positions 28 to 776 of the family's 1533-position model. The record is from RNAcentral. Lineage: Bacteria; Bacillati; Bacillota; Bacilli; Lactobacillales; Enterococcaceae.